Molecule: transfer RNA, 87 nt
Filed under: Nitrosococcus watsonii C-113
Lineage: Bacteria; Pseudomonadati; Pseudomonadota; Gammaproteobacteria; Chromatiales; Chromatiaceae
Description: tRNA-Leu (CAA) (tRNA-Leu-CAA-1-1)
Rfam family: tRNA
About the family: Transfer RNA (tRNA) molecules are approximately 80 nucleotides in length. Their secondary structure includes four short double-helical elements and three loops (D, anti-codon, and T loops). Further hydrogen bonds mediate the characteristic L-shaped molecular structure. tRNAs have two regions of fundamental functional importance: the anti-codon, which is responsible for specific mRNA codon recognition, and the 3' end, to which the tRNAs corresponding amino acid is attached (by aminoacyl-tRNA synthetases). tRNAs cope with the degeneracy of the genetic code in two manners: having more than one tRNA (with a specific anti-codon) for a particular amino acid; and 'wobble' base-pairing, i.e. permitting non-standard base-pairing at the 3rd anti-codon position.
Source: RNAcentral
GCCGGGGUGGCGAAAUUGGUAGACGCGCCAGACUCAAAAUCUGGUGGUGGUGACACCGUGCGAGUUCGAGUCUCGCCCUCGGCACCA